RNAcentral lists this long non-coding RNA (789 nucleotides) under Monodelphis domestica (gray short-tailed opossum). Its description in RNAcentral is "lncRNA (ENSMODG00000043955.1)". Lineage: Eukaryota; Metazoa; Chordata; Mammalia; Didelphimorphia; Didelphidae. The record is from RNAcentral.
AUGUUAUUUGCAGGAGGCUUGCAAGUAGAUUCCUCAGAGGACUCGUGGCAACACAAGCUUAGCAUAAGAAUGCUGGCUGCUUCAUCUGUAACCCUUGGUUACCAUGGUUUCCUUCAAGAUUCAGCAUCACCACAAAAAAAAAAAACUGGAAAGAUUUAUAUGAAGGGAUAUAAAGAGAAGUGAGAAGAACCAUGAGAAGAUUGUACAUAUUAACAGCAAAAAAAAAAGUGUGAUGAUCACCUGUGAAUGACAACUAUUAUCAGCAAUGCCAGAUCCAAGACAACUCCAAGGGAUUCAUGAAGAAAAAGACUAUCCACUGCACAAAAGGAACUGAUGGAGUCUGAAUACAGACUGAACCAUAUGAUUCUUCACUUUAUUUCCUUCUGAAUAUUUCUCUACUAUAAAUGAUACAUGUCUUCUUUCAUAAGACAACAAACUUGGAAAUAUAUAUUGCAUGCUAGCACGUGUACAAUCUAUAUCAUAUUACCUGUUUGGGAGCGAGGGUUGUAUGGGAGGGAGGGAAAGAACAUGGGUAAAAAAUCAGAAAAUGAAUAUUAAAACUAUAUCUAAGAAGCAGUUAGGUAGCUCAGUGAAUUGAGAGUCAGGCAUAGAAAUGGGAAGUCCUGAGUUCAAAUGUGAUCUCAGAUAUUUCCUAGCUGUGUGACCCUGAGCAAGUCACUUCACUCCCAUUUCCUAGCCCUCACCCUUCUUCUCUUUUAAAUCAAUACACAGUAUUGAUUCUAAGACAGAAGGUAAGGUAUUUUUUAAAACUAUUAACAUGUAAUCUGG